Molecule: ribosomal RNA, 497 nt
Filed under: uncultured bacterium
Lineage: Bacteria
Description: partial 16S ribosomal RNA
Rfam family: Bacterial small subunit ribosomal RNA
Source: RNAcentral
GAUGAACGCUGGCGGCGUGCCUAAUACAUGCAAGUCGAGCGAACGGACGAGAAGCUUUCUUCUCUGAGGUUAGCGGCGGACGGGCGAGUAACACGUGGAUAACCUACCUAUAAGACUGGGAUAACUUCGGGAAACCGUAGCUAAUACCGGAUAAUAUUUUGAACCGCAUGGUUCAAAAGUGAAAGACGGUCUUGCUGUCACUUAUAGAUGGAUCCGCGCUGCAUUAGCUAGUUGGUAAGGUAACGGCUUACCAAGGCAACGAUGCAUAGCCGACCUGAGAGGGUGAUCGGCCACACUGGAACUGAGACACGGUCCAGACUCCUACGGGAGGCAGCAGUAGGGAAUCUUCCACAAUGGGCGAAAGCCUGACGGAGCAACGCCGCGUGAGUGAUGAAGGUCUUCGGAUCGUAAAACUCUGUUAUUAGGGAAGAACAUAUGUGUAAGUAACUGUGCACAUCUUGACGGUACCUAAUCAGAAAGCCACGGCUAACUACGUG